This 253-nucleotide ribosomal RNA is filed under the name uncultured bacterium. RNAcentral's name for it is "partial 16S ribosomal RNA". It matches the Rfam family "Bacterial small subunit ribosomal RNA", at positions 524 to 776 of the family's 1533-position model. The record is from RNAcentral.
UACAGAGGGGGCAAGCGUUGUUCGGAAUUACUGGGCGUAAAGGGCGCGUAGGCGGCCGCCUAAGUCAGACGUGAAAUCCCUCGGCUCAACCGGGGAACUGCGUCUGAUACUGGGUGGCUUGAAUUCGGGAGAGGGAUGCGGAAUUCCAGGUGUAGCGGUGAAAUGCGUAGAUAUCUGGAGGAACACCGGUGGCGAAGGCGGCAUCCUGGACCAAUAUUGACGCUGAGGAGCGAAAGCCAGGGGAGCAAACGGG